RNAcentral lists this ribosomal RNA (253 nucleotides) under uncultured bacterium. Its description in RNAcentral is "partial 16S ribosomal RNA". It matches the Rfam family "Bacterial small subunit ribosomal RNA", at positions 524 to 776 of the family's 1533-position model. The record is from RNAcentral.
UACGGGGGGGGCAAGCGUUGUUCGGAAUUACUGGGCGUAAAGGGCUCGUAGGUGGCCAACUAAGUCAGACGUGAAAUCCCUCGGCUUAACCGGGGAACUGCGUCUGAUACUGGAUGGCUUGAGAUUGGGAGAGGGAUGCGGAAUUCCAGGUGUAGCGGUGAAAUGCGUAGAGAUCGGGAGGAACAUCAGUUGCGAAGGCGGCUCUCUGGACCAGCACUGACACUGAGGCACGAAAGCGUGGGGAGCAAACAGG